CCUACGGGGAGCAGCAGUGAGGAAUAUUGGUCAAUGGCCGCAGGGCUGAACCAGCCAAGUCGCGUGAGGGAUGACGGUCCUAUGGAUUGUAAACCUCUUUUGUCAGGGAGCAAAGGGCGCCACGUGUGGCGCUUUGCGAGUACCUGAAGAAAAAGCAUCGGCUAACUCCGUGCCAGCAGCCGCGGUAAUACGGAGGAUGCGAGCGUUAUCCGGAUUUAUUGGGUUAAAAGGGUGCGCAGGCGGAAUGUCAAGUCAGCGGUAAAAUUUCGGGGCUCAACCCCGUCGUGCCGUUGAAACUGGCGUUCUUGAGUGAGCGAGAAGUAUGCGGAAUGCGUGGUGUAGCGGUGAAAUGCAUAGAUAUCACGCAGAACUCCGAUUGCGAAGGCAGCAUACCGGCGCUCAACUGACGCUCAUGCACGAAAGCGUGGGUAUCGAACAGGAUUAGAUACCCGAGUAGUC
RNAcentral lists this ribosomal RNA (459 nucleotides) under uncultured bacterium. RNAcentral describes it as "partial 16S ribosomal RNA". It matches the Rfam family "Bacterial small subunit ribosomal RNA", at positions 338 to 795 of the family's 1533-position model. The record is from RNAcentral.